GGCGGAGGGAAGCUCGACGUGCGCAGACUGCUGAGUUCUUUCUCCGCAGUUGGCCGGUCGCUCGGUUUGACCCUGCCGAGCCGCCGUGUCUCCCCCCCAAAAUGGCGGAGCCCCUAGACAGGGUGCGCAUCUCGGCCGCUGAGCUGAGAGCCGGAGCGACGAGUUUCGUGGAGCGCGAAGCGGGCACCAGAGGCAUACGGGAAGCAAGAAAAGGUCCUCCACUGGGGAGGAAGCGACCCGACCUCCAGCGCUACCGACCAGGCCAGCGACAGUGUCACAAAGCCGGGGAAACGCAAAAUCUGCAGUGCGGGGGUGGAACGGGAGAGGGAGGAGGAACCGAGCCCUCGGACCGGGUAGCGGACGCUGAUACGGAUGGAAAUGUACAGCCAGAAAAUGUGGACAGCCCCUGCUGUAGUACCGACCUUGUGAAUCUUGGCAACAAGUACAACCACUGUGCUGUAAGUACCCCAAAACCCAGUAGUGGGGUGGUGGGCUUUGACCAAGUGGACCUUGGGAAGCACUCCACUACUGGUUCUCCUGGUGCUGACAGAAAGCCACAAGACAGCAGGCAUCCUGCGCAAAAACACACUCCUGCAAUUGCUGGUGUGCCAGACUCCUCUAGACUGAUGCGCAGGGUACGCAAGCCUGACCGCCAAAUAUACAAACCAGGAUGUUUGAGAGACCAGCACCUGCCACCAGAGUCUCGAUUCGCCAGUCAGGAGCACGGGAACAUGGGCCCUGCUAAGAGGGCUGCGAGAAAUGGUUUGGCUGUGGAGAACCUCACUGCCAAAGUGGAGAAGCUGAACAUGGCACAUGGGGAGGAGGUGGUGGUGGGGCAAGGAGGAGGCAAGGCUUGAAAGAGAGCAGCUGAGAUGUUGGAGACCCUGUACAGGGGACAGGUGUUGAAUUCUGGUCCAAGUCUCUGAGGGCUGGAGCCAGAAGGCUGAGCAGCUGACUCCACUCACUGGACCAGAAUCAG
RNAcentral lists this long non-coding RNA (979 nucleotides) under Scleropages formosus (Asian bonytongue). Its description in RNAcentral is "lncRNA (ENSSFOG00015028645.1)". The record is from RNAcentral. Lineage: Eukaryota; Metazoa; Chordata; Actinopteri; Osteoglossiformes; Osteoglossidae.